GUGAAGUGAUUCGUUCGCCCAAUCGCAUUUCCAAACAACWAACAACUCAGAAUGCUGGGCAAUAGGACGUUUAAAGUGGCUCCUUACACCUUACAAAGGAAUGGCUGAUGAGAAACAACUCGAUCCGCUCAGCGUUCUAUUGGAAUGCAACGGACGUGAUUGCAAGCUUUUGUUUUGAGUUGCGGUUUUACUGAAAGACUCUACAAUCCGCAAACUUCAAUGAUCUGAAGUAGAAAACCUACAUGCUACAGUGAGAUAUUGUGGAUAAACUUAAGCGACCGCUCCAACAUUGUGUUUUUUUAAAACUGAUGAAGGUUGCGGCAAUAACAGGUCUGUGAUGCCCUUCGAUGUCCUGGGCUGCACACGUGCUACAAUGGCUAGCGCAGUGAGCAUAUUUCAACCGAAACAUCGGUUGGCUGUUCUGAUUGACCCCUUCUGGGUCUCUCUGUAACACUACCGAUGAUCCCUCCUCUGAAAAGAGAGGGUAAGCCGUUCGAAAUUCUGGUAACGAUUCCCCGUAGUUAAGCAAACUUAAACCAUAGUGGUGUCAAACGGGUCCGCUUCCAUCGGAAAAGAUUCCUCCGGAAAAAGGCUUAUGCAGGCAUUUCACGUAUGCUCCUAUAAAUUCCUGGUAGGGAUAGUCUAUUGUAAYUGGUAGACUUGUCAACUAGGAAUGCCUUGUACGGG
This 687-nucleotide ribosomal RNA is filed under the name Globigerinoides sacculifer. Its description in RNAcentral is "partial 18S ribosomal RNA". It matches the Rfam family "Eukaryotic small subunit ribosomal RNA", at positions 1312 to 1643 of the family's 1831-position model. The record is from RNAcentral. Lineage: Eukaryota; Foraminifera; Rotaliida; Globigerinidae.